Phrynosoma platyrhinos (Desert horned lizard) is the source of this 73-nucleotide non-coding RNA. NCBI's taxonomy places the organism in Eukaryota, Metazoa, Chordata, Lepidosauria, Squamata, Phrynosomatidae. The record is from the annotation of a GenBank genome assembly.
GCCAGAGUGGCGUAGUGGUUUAAACAUUUGGACUACAACUCUGGAGACCAGGGUUUGAAUCCCCACUCAGCCA